GCAAAACCAAGACAAGAGGUGUCCGGUG
RNAcentral lists this non-coding RNA (28 nucleotides) under Mus musculus (house mouse). The record is from RNAcentral. Lineage: Eukaryota; Metazoa; Chordata; Mammalia; Rodentia; Muridae.